Long non-coding RNA from Papaver somniferum (opium poppy), 672 nucleotides. RefSeq lists it as uncharacterized. The transcript is spliced from 4 exons. The record is from RefSeq and is a predicted model, not a curated record. Lineage: Eukaryota; Viridiplantae; Streptophyta; Magnoliopsida; Ranunculales; Papaveraceae.
UUCCCGAGAAGAGAAAAGAGAAGGUCGUUUUUCAUCAUAGAUCUUCUUAGGUUUCAGAUGUUUCCUCAAAUCAAAACCUUCAUUUCAACAUCUCAGAUAACCUAACCAAAACCCAUCUUUUAUCAUCACAGAUCUACUAUCUCAGAUAACCUAAUCAAAACCUAGAAAAUCAAUUUUUUUCCCUGAAAUCUAAAAUCAAACUAUUCAAUAGUUGAUUCGGCAUCAGUUUGACAGUUCAGUAAGGAUUAUCAUUAGGGUUGUGGGCUUUUGGUAUCUGAAGGUGUUUAUGUAUCGAGCUUGUUGGCUGUUCUCGUAGAUAGAGGCUAGGAUAGCACUUGAGCGAAGGAAGUUUCUGAAGAAUGCUGAGACGGCUGUGCACCGGCAAGCUAUGUGGUCUAACCUGGCUCACGAAAUGACUGCUGAAUUUCGUGGUAGUUACGCAGAAAAGCGUAUCUGCAGCAAGAGCUGGAAAAGCUACAAGAUUUGAGACACAAAGCCAAGUUAGAUGGGGAACUGUGGGGCGACCGUGUUUCUAGCUCCUUGGAUCAGAAUUUACAUUUGGUUCCCAAGGCAACUCGCUUAUGGGAGUCUUUACUUCCGCGCAAGAGUAAGCACAUAUUAUUGACAUUGGUAAUCAAGUAGUAAUAACCAUUUUAGUUGUAAACUUCCCCU